GUGGGGAAUAUUGGACAAUGGGCGAAAGCCUGAUCCAGCCAUGCCGCGUGUGUGAAGAAGGUCUUCGGAUUGUAAAGCACUUUAAGUUGGGAGGAAGGGCAGUAAGUUAAUACCUUGCUGUUUUGACGUUACCGACAGAAUAAGCACCGGCUAACUUCGUGCCAGCAGCCGCGGUAAUACGAAGGGUGCAAGCGUUAAUCGGAAUUACUGGGCGUAAAGCGCGCGUAGGUGGUUUUGUAAGUUGGAGGUGAAAUCCCCGGGCUAAACCUGGGAACUGCCUCCAAAACUGCAUGACUAGAGUACGGUAGAGGGUAGUGGAAUUUCCUGUGUAGCGGUGAAAUGCGUAGAUAUAGGAAGGAACACCAGUGGCGAAGGCGACUACCUGGACUGAUACUGACACUGAGGUGCGAAAGCGUGGGGAGCAAACAGGAUUAGAUACCCCUGUAGUCC
Molecule: ribosomal RNA, 450 nt
Filed under: uncultured bacterium
Lineage: Bacteria
Description: partial 16S ribosomal RNA
Rfam family: Bacterial small subunit ribosomal RNA
Source: RNAcentral